AUUGUGCCUGUGAGGUAGGAAACCAGAAAUAGUCAGUGAACAUGUGAAUGACUGUUCACUUCCCCACUCCAGGGCCUGCGACCUUGCUGUUCUCUCAUCUUGGUAUGAUGUUCCUUCACCUCUGCACAGAGCUGGCUCCUUUUCAUCCUUUGGUUCUAGAAUUUCCCUUAGAGAACUUCUGUGACUAAUAGCAUUCUUCAAGUGGGAGAGAGCUAAUAAAGAUAGCUGUAACCGACCUGUAUGGUGACUGGAAUAAUAUUCAACAGGGUAACCAGCCUGAAGGUAUCAGGUGAGUCAAUCAAUAUAUAAAACUUAACUGAGUUGUUGUCACCCUGAAUAGUAGAAUUGAGUUCAUGUAAUCCUAAGUAAAAUGGUUAAACCCAUUGGGACUUAUAAUUGCAAAAGAUCUCUCAAUUUUAAAUAGGAAGGCUGCAGAUUUUUUUUUUUGCCUCGUAAUAACUCAUAUUUUUAUAGUACUUCUCAAUUUCCAAAGCACGUUUGUGUGCAUUGUUUCAAUGGAGCAUUAUGACAGCUAAUAAGUCUCUGUGUGGUAUAGCUAAGGACCCCAAAGCCCAGAAAGGUCAAAUGAUUAGCAUAAGGAUGCACAGCCAAUACUUGGAAGAAGCAAGAUUGCUAUUAGAGAUCUUAAGUCAACAUAACUUAGCUUUUCCCAGAAUGAAACAGUGUCUCUCCCUGAGAGUGAAAGUUAUCAGUUACCAUCCAGCCCGUUCACUUGUAUUAGAUGGAGACAAAGUCUCCCUGAAAGGAUCAGUAGAAGUAUAGUUGUUGACAGACACAGGAUUCACAGCUUAAAGUUUCUCUUUCCAAAUAAGCCACUUAAUUGUUCUUUAUUCUAAAAUAAUGGCCAAAUGUGAAUAUUAUUAUUUCAGAAUACUUAGAAGAGGUCACAUGAGUUGAAAGAUAAAACUGCAGGCCUUUAUUAGUCAUGGGUUGUUUAAGUCAGAGAAGAUAUGUACAGUAUAUUCAAGGUACUAUUUUCCAUUCCCAUGACCAUGACAGUCAUAGAUAGUCAAUUGUGAUAUUCUUUCCCAUUGGAUCCAGAUGAGCUUCAUAGUUCUUUUCAAUUUGGUGUUCUAGUCAGGCACUGCUAAGUGCUCAGAACUAGUCUAUUUUCCAUGUUGCUGUAGGCACAGACAUGCUUAGAGGUUUGCCUGAGCCUUUUGAUCUAAAACCAUCCUUGAAACCCCAUUUUCUUUUCUAGGUGAUAUUCAAAACAAUUUUAUUCUCUUUAUUAUGCCUGACACUUAUUAACAAAAUAGCCUGUGUUAUUAAAAUUCAUGCAAAAUUAUGUAAACAUUCCAAAGAACAUGACAUUUGCACAGAAGCUGACAGACUCGGUACUUUGUUUUUUCUACAUCUUUGAGGAUAUUGUCGUUUCUGUUUGUAAGAAGACACAGUAGCCCUCCAGUAGUCAUUCGUGAAUUUCCCUCUUCAAAAGCAUAAUUGCUAUGCACUUACUUCCUGUACUUCUAAGAAUUAAUUUUAUUCUAGGGACCCAGUGAAGUCAAUCAUUUACUUUAGAGAAGAAAAUUUUUCUACUUUAUUGUUCAUUGUUACUAGCUCAGAAACCAGUUAUUUGUUUCAUAAAGUGUAAGGCACUGCUUUAAAUUGGAAUCUCACUUCUACACCAUAAUUGAGUUCUUGGCACUCAAUGUAACAAAGCAGUAUAAGACUGUAAAGUUGUUUUAGAGCUAGGAAUGAAUCAAUCACUCAAGGAAACUUUCUUGAAAUAAAUUUGCUUAUAUUCUCAACUUUAUUUCCCUUUUACUGUCAACCCUCAGCCUCUCUUCAUUCUGGUUUCCCUAGGGGGCAGGGGACUAUAGAGGGCAAAUGUAUAUGUUGGAAAUGUUAUUCUAAGUUAUUCCAUUACCUAAGUCUCAUUCUUCCCUGCAAAUGAGACCACUGAUGUGAUGGAAAAGAUAAUUAAAUUUUAAGUUAGAAGACAUUGUUGUAUUUGAAUCUUGGCCUGCCACUUUUUUCCUAGGUAAAUUUAGUUAUUACUCAAGACUUACUGGUUUUCAAGUAACAGAAACCCAAAUCACACUGGCUUUAGCAAAAAGAGGGGGUUUAGUUCAUAUAUCUAAGACUGAUUCUGGCUGGCUCCAGGUAUAGCUGGAUCAGCAUCCCAAGAACUAUUACAAGAAACUUAUUUCACCAUCUCUUUAGCUCUUCUUUCCUCUCCUUUGGUGUUAAUCUCAGAUCCUACAUGGGAGCACCCAAUGAAUUUAGGAUUUCUCUCUCUGUCUCUUUAUAGUUCAACAAGCCUCCAAGGAAGGAGACAUUUCCUUUCUUUAAUAAGACCUCCAAAGACCUUAGUACUGCACGUUGGCUUGACUUGUCUCCUGUGACCAUUCCCAAACCAAUCACUACAGCCACUGAGGAUGAAAUAGCCGAGUUUUCUUGCUUCUUGUCAGGAAAGAGAUCACUCAGUAAUCACCUCUAUAGUUAUUAUGGCUGUUUGUGGCUGAUGUAUUAUAUGCUGUUCCAGGGCUAUAUGCUGUGUAUUUCUGUUCCUUGGCUACCUGCUUAUCCUUAGAGUUAAGAAUGGGGGUGAUCUCUCCUGAACAUAAUGAUUUAGAAUUGGGUUGAUUCUCCAUAGGAAAAUUACACUAGGAGAAAAUAGAAUGAAUAUCUUUUUUUUUUUUUUUUCCAAGGAAAUGAUAUCACCACUUUGGGUCGUGUUUUUUCAUAUGUAAAACAGAAAAUAUGAAUCAGUUGUUCUUAUGAGUUGCUAAUACAUUCUAAUUUUCUGUGAAAAGAAAUAGUGCUCUG
RNAcentral lists this long non-coding RNA (2793 nucleotides) under Homo sapiens (human). RNAcentral describes it as "HSALNT0330328". The record is from RNAcentral. Lineage: Eukaryota; Metazoa; Chordata; Mammalia; Primates; Hominidae.